AUGGAUUUCAAAGGUGUCAAGUGUGUAAUCAACUAUGAUUUCCCUGAGUCCGCGUCUGCCUACAUUCACAGAAUAGUCCGGAAGAGCAGGCAGAUCGGGGGAGGCGAUCACGUUCUUCACGGAGGAGGACAAGCCGUUCCUGUGGAACAUCGCCAACAUACUGGUAUCUUCGGGCUGCGAGGUUCCUUCCUGGAUGGUGGCGUUGCCCAAGCUCAAGAGCAGGAAGCACAGGGUGGACAGCUAGAUAAAAAAGAUCGAAAGCAGACAGACGUAUUAGGAAGUGUUGGUACCGUGGAAGACCCAAUAAGAUUAGUCACCGAUCUUAUUGAAGCAGAAGACCCAAUAGGCAGUGUGGGUCAUGACUCACAAGUUCAAGGCGUUUGA
This 384-nucleotide ribosomal RNA is filed under the name Triticum aestivum (bread wheat). RNAcentral describes it as "partial small subunit ribosomal RNA". Lineage: Eukaryota; Viridiplantae; Streptophyta; Magnoliopsida; Poales; Poaceae. The record is from RNAcentral.